RNAcentral lists this long non-coding RNA (1697 nucleotides) under Prunus dulcis (almond). Its description in RNAcentral is "sRNA ncRNA". Lineage: Eukaryota; Viridiplantae; Streptophyta; Magnoliopsida; Rosales; Rosaceae. The record is from RNAcentral.
AUGCUCUUCUUCUUGUUCUAUGCUUUUAUGGUGACGGGUGUGCUCUCUCAAGCACCCCCAACCCCACCAAUUUCUCUAACCGUAGAUCAGUCCGGCAAUGGUGACUACACUAAAAUACAAGACGCCAUUGACGCCGUGCCUUCUAACAACGCUGCGCGUGUGUCUAUUUUGGUUCGACCUGGUGUCUACCAAGAAAAAAUUUAUGUGCCUGUAGACAAACCCUUUAUAACAAUGAGUGGCACAAACACAGAGCAUACCAUAAUAACAUGGAACCAAGCAGGAUGGAUAAAUCAAACCUCAGUCUUCACUGUGUGGGCUUCUGAUUUCAUAGGGCGCCAACUCACAAUUCAGGUAUAUAUAGAGUCUUGAUUUUAUAGACUACGAAUUAUAUAUAUAUAUAUAUAUUGUUUGAACACAUAAUUAAUUUUACUUAAUUUGAAUUGGUGAGUGCAGAAUACAUAUGGAACCGGUGACAAAACAGUGGCACUAAGAGUAUCAGGAGACAGAGCAGCAUUCUAUGGGUGCAGAAUUUUGUCUCAUCAAGAUGCCUUAUUCGACGAGAUUGGCAAGCACUACUACAAAGACUGCUACAUUCAAGGAGACACUGAUUUUAUAUUUGGAAGCGCUGAUUCUUUAUAUGAGGUAUACAUUUAAUUACUUCAUUAUUAAUUAAAUAUUAAUUAGUAUAUAUGGAGAUUAACUAAGUGAUUAAUUUGCAGAAUUGUCACUUGCAUACACUUUCGGGUCAAAACGGCGCUAUAACGGCCCAACGGAGGACUUCUCCUUUAGAGGAAUCUGGGUUCACCUUUUUGUGGUGCAACAUAACCGGCGUCAAAACGGCACUCCUGGGAAGGCCAUGGGGGCCAUAUGCCAGAGUCGUAUUUGCCUACACUCAAAUGUCAAAUGUAAUUCUGCCACAAGGUUGGGACAGUUGGCGGCUAUCACCCUACAACUUAAGGUAUAUAUUUUUGAGUGCUUAAUUUUUUAAUUACUCUAUUUUAUUUUAAUUUUUGAUAUGUUUGUAAUUUGGUUUUAAUUUAAUGUGUACAUGCGCAUGCAGUAACGUUUUCUAUGGGGAAUACAACUGUUUUGGACCGGGAGCCGUGACAACACAAAGAGUUAAUUGGGCACACAAGCUUACCACCAGAGAAUUUGCACCCUUCAUGGCUCAGGCUAGUGCCCUUCGGCGUACGAUUCUUGGUCGUGACGGAGGAAGAGGGCAACAUGUAGCUCCCACUAUGGUUCGUCCCGGCAGCGGAGGAGGAGGUGGAGGAGAGCAACAUGGAGCUUCCACUCCCAUUGGAAGAGAAGGAAACAAAGCGAAGGAGAAUGAGAGAAAUAGACAAGGCGCUCCACCUCGAGCUCUCACUGCCACGCCUACUCCCAUUGGAGGAGAAGCCGCUCCACCUCGAGCUCUCACUGCCCCGCCCCUUGCCAUUGGAGGAGAAGGCACUCCACCUCUAGUUCUUACGGCCACGCCCCCUCUCAUUGGAGGAGAAGGCACUCCACCUCCAUCUCUCACUGCCACGCCCCCUCCCAUUGGAGGAGAGGGAAACAAAGAGAAGGAGAAUGGGAGAAAUAGCUCAGAGCAGGCUCCCGCUUCCGCUGCAUGGCUCAUCAUUGAGGGGUCGAAUAAUGAUGUGGAACGGAGUAGUGGUUCUCCUCGAGUGGGUGCAGCCCCUCUAGGUCUUCUGGGG